AUGAUAGAGGAAAGCAGAAUUUUCUAGUGUAGAGGUGAAAUUCGUAGAUAUUAGAAAGAAUACCCAAUUGCGAAGGCAGCUUUCUGGAUCAUUACUGACACUGAGGAACGAAAGCAUGGGUAGCGAAGAGGAUUAGAUACCCUCGUAGUCCAUGCCGUAAACGAUGUGUGUUAGACGUUGGAAAUUUAUUUUCAGUGUCGCAGGGAAACCGAUAAACACACCGCCUGGGGAGUACGACCGGCAAGGUUAAAACUCAAAUGAAUUGACGGGGACCCGCACAAGUAGUGGAGCAUGUGGUUUAAUUCGAAGAUACGCGCAGAACCUUACCAACACUUGACAUGUUCGUCGCGACUCUAAGAGAUUAGAGUUUUCGGUUCGGCCGGACGAAACACAGGUGCUGCAUGGCUGUCGUCAGCUCGUGUCGUGAGAUGUUGGGUUAAGUCCCCCAACGAGCGCAACCCUCACUUUUAGUUGCCAUCAUUAAGUUGGGCACUCUGAAAGAACUGCCAGUGAUAAGCUGGAGGAAGGUGGGGAUGACGUCAAGUCCUCAUGGCCCUUACGUGUUGGGCUACACACGUGCUACAAUGGUAUUUACAACAGGAAGCAAGACUGCGAAGUUAAGCAAAUCCCUAAAAGAUACCUCAGUUCGGAUUGCACUCUGCAACUCGAGUGCAUGAAGCUGGAACUACUAGUAAUCGUGGAUCAGCGUGCCACGGUGAAUGCGUUCCCGGGUCUUGUACACACCGCCCGUCACACCAUGGGAGUUGGUUCUACCUUAAGGCAAGGUUUCAAACCCUUGACCACGGUAUAGUCAGCGACUGGGGUGAAGUGGUAACAAGG
Molecule: ribosomal RNA, 840 nt
Filed under: uncultured Alphaproteobacteria bacterium
Lineage: Bacteria; Pseudomonadati; Pseudomonadota; Alphaproteobacteria
Description: bacterial SSU rRNA
Rfam family: Bacterial small subunit ribosomal RNA
Source: RNAcentral